UACGUAGGGCGCAAGCGUUGUCCGGAAUUAUUGGGCGUAAAGAGCUCGUAGGCGGUUUGUCGCGUCUGCUGUGAAAACCUAAGGCUCAACCUCCAGCCUGCAGUGGGUACGGGCAGACUAGAGUGCGGUAGGGGAGAUUGGAAUUCCUGGUGUAGCGGUGGAAUGCGCAGAUAUCAGGAGGAACACCGAUGGCGAAGGCAGAUCUCUGGGCCGUAACUGACGCUGAGGAGCGAAAGCAUGGGGAGCGAACAGG
RNAcentral lists this ribosomal RNA (253 nucleotides) under uncultured bacterium. RNAcentral's name for it is "partial 16S ribosomal RNA". It matches the Rfam family "Bacterial small subunit ribosomal RNA", at positions 524 to 776 of the family's 1533-position model. The record is from RNAcentral.